CUCCAGGGUUUCCCCUGGGUCAAUUAUUUUUUUCGCCACCUCUUUCGCCAAAACAAUAUAUUUUUCGCCACUUCAUUAUUUUUUUCGCCAAGUAACAUAAAUAUAUUUUUCCUGUUGUGCCCUUUUGUACUAAGAAGUAAUUUUUACAACAAAACAAAAGCUUUUAUCACAUGAAAUUGAUCCCUCAUUUCAUGUGCAGUCAUUACAUUGAAGGGUUACUCUCAUUCGAGGGGUUGUUCCCAGACUUUUGGAUAGAUUUUUUCAUAACGACAGUUUUCUUUUCUUGACCAUCGUAAAUGAAAAAGUUGAGACGUACAACUAUGCUUGAAACACGUGCAUGUGUCACUUAAACGACUUUAUUAAAGUCAAAGGAUAAAAGAAUUAAAGUUUUAAAUCGGAGAUUUUUCUUGCUUUUGAACAAUUUUCGUCACAACAAC
This 437-nucleotide long non-coding RNA is filed under the name Mytilus galloprovincialis (Mediterranean mussel). Lineage: Eukaryota; Metazoa; Mollusca; Bivalvia; Mytilida; Mytilidae. The record is from RNAcentral.